RNAcentral lists this ribosomal RNA (253 nucleotides) under uncultured bacterium. Its description in RNAcentral is "partial 16S ribosomal RNA". It matches the Rfam family "Bacterial small subunit ribosomal RNA", at positions 524 to 776 of the family's 1533-position model. The record is from RNAcentral.
UACGGAGGAUGCAAGCGUUAUCCGGAUUCAUUGGGUUUAAAGGGUGCGUAGGCGGAAUAAUAAGUCAGUGGUGAAAGCCUGUGGCUCAACCAUAGAAUUGCCAUUGAUACUGUUAUUCUUGAGUAUAGUUGAAGUGGGCGGAAUGUGUAAUGUAGCGGUGAAAUGCUUAGAUAUUACACAGAACACCAAUUGCGAAGGCAGCUCACUAAGCUGUUACUGACGUUGAGGCACGAAAGCGUGGGGAGCAAACAGG